Long non-coding RNA from Onychostoma macrolepis, 820 nucleotides. RefSeq lists it as uncharacterized. The record is from RefSeq and is a predicted model, not a curated record. Lineage: Eukaryota; Metazoa; Chordata; Actinopteri; Cypriniformes; Cyprinidae. The transcript has 3 exons.
UAAACAGUUUGAGGUGAAAAGCCAUGAAAAGAUUCAUGAGGAAUCACAGCAUUAUACUGUAUCUGUCCAUCUGUUCUGAUACUUAAAGGGAAGUCAAAAUGAAUAAUCUGAAUGCACAAAGAAAUCAAAUGAAUAUCAGAGCAAAUGGAAAAGGUGAUGAUAAAUGGAGCUGGAACUGGCCUCUGCUGAUUUCACUGUCUGGCUUCGCAUUGUACCAAUGGUUCCUGCAAAGGAGAAUAACAAAUGAAAUCGAUUGUUUGAGGAGAAGCAUUGAGAAAGACAGAAAGGAGGACAAAGCCAUGGUUGUGAUUCACGAGAUCCGCAGGUUGUUGUACACUAGACAAGAUAUCAUUUGCAGCAAUAUUCCAUAUUUUUUUCAGAAGACCAGAGAGCAAGAGUUAACCGACAUGGCCUCCAGUGACCCUAUAACACGUCAACUCAAUAUAAAAGCUGAUCUCCUCAAGAUCUUUCAGCAUCCUGAACCCUGCUCAAGAGCCCCAAUAAACACAUGUGUUGAAGACUGGCAGAGAAAACUUAAAGACUUACUUGAAAAUGAGCAAAAAUAGACUGACACACAGUUUUAUAAGGAUUAAUUUAGGGGAAAAUCAGAAUUUGUUUGACCGAGUGUGACACUACAGUUAUGUUUGUGUGUUGUGUUUUAAUGUCGGUUGUAUGUGAAUGUGUGAAUGUUCAGUGUGAUAUUCAAAAACAUCUGUCAGCGUUUAAUGUGUUUUGAAACUAAGCUGAACCAAUGAUUCUCACAGCGUAUUUCAUUAUAGUCAAGUUAUAUCAACUGUGUUAAUGCAGUUAGCAAAAAUAA